UACGUAGGGUGCAAGCGUUAAUCGGAAUUACUGGGCGUAAAGCGUGCGCAGGCGGUUUUGUAAGUCUGUCGUGAAAGCCCCGGGCUCAACCUGGGAAUUGCGAUGGAGACUGCAAGGCUUGAAUCUGGCAGAGGGGGUAGAAUUCCACGUGUAGCAGUGAAAUGCGUAGAGAUGUGGAGGAACACCGAUGGCGAAGGCAGCCCCUGGGUCAAGAUUGACGCUCAUGCACGAAAGCGUGGGGAGCAAACAGG
This 251-nucleotide ribosomal RNA is filed under the name uncultured bacterium. RNAcentral's name for it is "partial 16S ribosomal RNA". It matches the Rfam family "Bacterial small subunit ribosomal RNA", at positions 524 to 776 of the family's 1533-position model. The record is from RNAcentral.